GUCUGCAACUCGACUACAUGAAGCUGGAAUCGCUAGUAAUCGCGAAUCAGCAUGUCGCGGUGAAUACGUCCCCGGGCCUUGUACACACCGCCCGUCACACCAUGGGAGUUGGAAGCGCCCGAAGUCGGUGACCUGACCGAAAGGGAGGAGCCGCCGAAGGUGAAGCCAGCGACUGGGGUGAAGUCGUAACAAGGUAUC
RNAcentral lists this ribosomal RNA (198 nucleotides) under uncultured bacterium. RNAcentral describes it as "partial 16S ribosomal RNA". It matches the Rfam family "Bacterial small subunit ribosomal RNA", at positions 1303 to 1500 of the family's 1533-position model. The record is from RNAcentral.